Long non-coding RNA from Carassius auratus (goldfish), 968 nucleotides. RefSeq lists it as uncharacterized. NCBI's taxonomy places the organism in Eukaryota, Metazoa, Chordata, Actinopteri, Cypriniformes, Cyprinidae. The transcript is spliced from 4 exons. The record is from RefSeq and is a predicted model, not a curated record.
CCUUGACACCUUUAUAGAAAUCGGUGAUUCUCAAUAAUGAAAAUGCAUUUUUACUUUGGCUUAUUUGUUAGUGGGCUGUAAGGUCUCAUCAGAAACAUUGCUCUGCAUUCUUCUUCUUAUCAUGCUUUAUCAAAUAAUAUUAUACAUAUCCAUCAGAGACUAUAAACUUUGGGAUUUAAUAGACUACAGUGAAAUUAAUUAUCUUCUCUCUCUUUUUCAGUGUCGAUUGCCGUCUUAUUGUUUAGCUACAUACACCACAACGGCUCUUUUAAGAGCUACAUCUUGAGAACAUCUUUGACUUUGUAAGUAUAUAUUUUAAAUGACCACUCAGUAUUUGGGUUUAGAUCAAUUACAACAUCAUGCAGCAUGUUAGUAAUGUCUUAAUGAAGACAUUAAAGGAAUACAUAAAGGAAUAAAAAAAAAUAUAUAUAUAUUAAAUGCAUGUAUGAAUGAAAUGGAAACAAAACUAGCAUCGUGCAUCUGAUUUGCCAGAUUCAUCAUAACAUCCUAAUUAAUCAAUAACCACUGAUGAAAGUGAAAACAUUUUAAUGUGUACAGACAUAUCUCACUCGUAUGCGUUCUUCUUUUUUGUCUACAGCAGCUACAUACACCACAACGGCUCUUUUAAGAGCCACAUCUUGAGAACAUCUUUGACUUUAAAGUUCUCUACAGUCAACCACACUCACUCAACAACGAUAUCCACAGUUCACACUUGAUCAAAACCAAGUACCAUGGAUUGCAAAAAACCAUCUUACUGGACAUUGCGAAGAAAAGCCAAGGCUAAGGUGGACAAACAACUCCAGUCAAUGGAAGCAUCACUACCAUCAUCAUGGAACAUGGAACAGUAUGGUGGCAUGAACAGUGACACAAGCAGCAUCGCUGAUGACAACAAUGACUUUAUGGACGGUUUGUCCCAUAUUGAUGAGCCUGAAUGUGUCACCAUGGCAAGUGCUUCACAUAGCAGUGAA